CAUUAAGUGACUGAAAUUUAAGUAAUGGUCUCUUAAACCAAUAUAUGACAAGUCCAUAAAUGUCCUUAAUG
RNAcentral lists this transfer RNA (71 nucleotides) under Peregrinus maidis (corn hopper). RNAcentral describes it as "tRNA-Lys". The record is from RNAcentral. Lineage: Eukaryota; Metazoa; Arthropoda; Insecta; Hemiptera; Delphacidae.